RNAcentral lists this ribosomal RNA (472 nucleotides) under Flavobacterium xanthum. RNAcentral's name for it is "bacterial SSU rRNA". It matches the Rfam family "Bacterial small subunit ribosomal RNA", at positions 388 to 864 of the family's 1533-position model. Lineage: Bacteria; Pseudomonadati; Bacteroidota; Flavobacteriia; Flavobacteriales; Flavobacteriaceae. The record is from RNAcentral.
CCAGCCAUGCCGCGUGCAGGAUGACGGUCCUAUGGAUUGUAAACUGCUUUUAUACAGGAAGAAACACUCCCUCGUGAGGGAGCUUGACGGUACUGUAAGAAUAAGGAUCGGCUAACUCCGUGCCAGCAGCCGCGGUAAUACGGAGGAUCCAAGCGUUAUCCGGAAUCAUUGGGUUUAAAGGGUCCGUAGCGGUCUUAUAAGUCAGUGGUGAAAUCUCCCCGCUCAACAGGGAAACGGCCAUUGAUACUGUAGGACUUGAAUUAUUAGGAAGUAACUAGAAUAUGUAGUGUAGCGGUGAAAUGCUUAGAGAUUACAUGGAAUACCAAUUGCGAAGGCAGGUUACUACUAAUGGAUUGACGCUGAUGGACGAAAGCGUGGGUAGCGAACAGGAUUAGAUACCCUGGUAGUCCACGCCGUAAACGAUGGAUACUAGCUGUUGGAAGCAAUUCAGUGGCUAAGCGAAAGUGAUAAU